RNAcentral lists this ribosomal RNA (399 nucleotides) under uncultured bacterium. Its description in RNAcentral is "bacterial SSU rRNA". It matches the Rfam family "Bacterial small subunit ribosomal RNA", at positions 509 to 906 of the family's 1533-position model. The record is from RNAcentral.
CAGCAGCCGCGGUAAUACGAAGGGUGCAAGCGUUACUCGGAAUUACUGGGCGUAAAGCGUGCGUAGGCGGUUUGUUAAGUCCGUUGUGAAAGCCCUGGGCUCAACCUGGGAAUUGCAGUGGAUACUGGCAAGCUAGAGUACGGUAGAGGAUGGUGGAAUUCCCGGUGUAGCGGUGAAAUGCGUAGAGAUCGGGAGGAACACCCGUGGCGAAGGCGGCCAUCUGGACCAGUACUGACGCUGAGGCACGAAAGCGUGGGGAGCAAACAGGAUUAGAUACCCUGGUAGUCCACGCCGUAAACGAUGAGAACUAGAUGUCGGGGGGGAUUAGCCCCUCGGUGUCGUAGCUAACGCGCUAAGUUCUCCGCCUGGGGAGUACGGCCGCAAGGUUGAAACUCAAAG